Molecule: ribosomal RNA, 373 nt
Filed under: uncultured bacterium
Lineage: Bacteria
Description: bacterial SSU rRNA
Rfam family: Bacterial small subunit ribosomal RNA
Source: RNAcentral
AUACGGAGGAUGCGAGCGUUAUCCGGAUUUAUUGGGUUUAAAGGGUGCGUAGGCGGAUUGAUAAGUCAGCGGUGAAAACCUUCAGCUUAACUGGAGAAUUGCCGUUGAUACUGUUAGUCUUGAGUACGGUCAAGGUAGGCGGAAUGUGUAAUGUAGCGGUGAAAUGCUUAGAUAUUACACAGAACACCGAUUGCGAAGGCAGCUUACUGGACCAAUACUGACGCUGAGGCACGAAAGCGUGGGGAGCGAACAGGAUUAGAUACCCUGGUAGUCCACGCCGUAAACGAUGAUCACUCGCUGUUAGCGAUACACAGUUAGCGGCUAAGCAAAAGCAUUAAGUGAUCCACCUGGGGAGUACGGCCGCAAGGCUGAA